RNAcentral lists this ribosomal RNA (114 nucleotides) under Paramormyrops kingsleyae. Lineage: Eukaryota; Metazoa; Chordata; Actinopteri; Osteoglossiformes; Mormyridae. The record is from RNAcentral.
GUCAGCAGCCAUGCCACCUGCAGUUUAGACCAGGUAAUCUUUCUAAAGCUAAGCAGGUUCGGCCUUGGCCAGUAACUGGAUAGACCACCUAGAAAAGCUAAGUUGCUGUGGGAA